Molecule: non-coding RNA, 99 nt
Organism: Acanthosepion pharaonis
Lineage: Eukaryota; Metazoa; Mollusca; Cephalopoda; Sepiida; Sepiidae
Source: the annotation of a GenBank genome assembly
GUUGAAACACCGGUUCUCGUAAGAUCACCGAAGUUAAGCAAUGUUGAACCUGAUCUGUACCCAGAUGGAUGAUCGCUUUGAAAUACCAGGUGUUGUAAU